UACGGAGGGUGCAAGCGUUGUCCGGAAUCACUGGGCGUAAAGGGCGCGUAGGCGGCUCAUGAAGGCUGUGGUGAAAGUCCGGGGCUCAACCUCGGAUCGGCCGUGGCGACUCGUGGGCUGGAGCACUGUAGAGGCGGGUGGAAUUCCGGGUGUAGCGGUGGAAUGCGUAGAGAUCCGGAAGAACACCAGUGGCGAAGGCGGCCUGCUGGGCAGUUUUGCUGACACUGAGGCGCGACAGCGUGGGGAGCAAACAGG
RNAcentral lists this ribosomal RNA (255 nucleotides) under uncultured bacterium. RNAcentral describes it as "partial 16S ribosomal RNA". It matches the Rfam family "Bacterial small subunit ribosomal RNA", at positions 524 to 776 of the family's 1533-position model. The record is from RNAcentral.